UACGAAGGGGGCUAGCGUUGCUCGGAAUCACUGGGCGUAAAGCGCACGUAGGCGGAUUGCUAAGUCAGGGGUGAAAUGCCAGGGCUCAACCUUGGAACUGCCUUUGAUACUGGAGACCUUGAGUCCGGGAGAGGUGAGUGGAAUUGCGAGUGUAGAGGUGAAAUUCGUAGAUAUUCGCAAGAACACCAGUGGCGAAGGCGGCUCACUGGCCCGGAACUGACGCUGAGACGCGAAAGCGUGGGGAGCAAACAGG
This 253-nucleotide ribosomal RNA is filed under the name uncultured bacterium. Its description in RNAcentral is "partial 16S ribosomal RNA". It matches the Rfam family "Bacterial small subunit ribosomal RNA", at positions 524 to 776 of the family's 1533-position model. The record is from RNAcentral.